GACGAACGCUGGCGGCGUGCCUAAUACAUGCAAGUUGAGCGAUGAAGCUUGGUGCUUGCACCAAUUUGAAGAGCAGCGAACGGGUGAGUAACGCGUGGGGAAUCUGCCUUUGAGCGGGGGACAACAUUUGGAAACGAAUGCUAAUACCGCAUAACAACUUUAAACAUAAGUUUUAAGUUUGAAAGAUGCAAUUGCAUCACUCAAAGAUGAUCCCGCGUUGUAUUAGCUAGUUGGUGAGGUAAAGGCUCACCAAGGCGAUGAUACAUAGCCGACCUGAGAGGGUGAUCGGCCAAAUUGGGACUGAGACACGGCCCAAACUCCUACGGGAGGCAGCAGUAGGGAAUCUUCGGCAAUGGACGAAAGUCUGACCGAGCAACGCCGCGUGAGUGAAGAAGGUUGUCGGAUCGUAAAACUCUGUUGGUAGAGAAGAGCGUUGGUGAGAGUGGAAAGCUCAUCAAGUGACGGUAACUACCCAGAAAGGGACGGCUAACUACGUG
This 497-nucleotide ribosomal RNA is filed under the name uncultured bacterium. RNAcentral describes it as "partial 16S ribosomal RNA". It matches the Rfam family "Bacterial small subunit ribosomal RNA", at positions 28 to 507 of the family's 1533-position model. The record is from RNAcentral.